GAUGAAGAACGUAGUGAAAUGCGAUAGGUAAUGUGAAUUGCAGAAUUCAGUGAAUCAUCGAAUCUUUGAACGCACCUUGCACCCUUUGGCAUUCUGAAGGGUAUGCUCGUUUGAGUGUCAUUGUACUCUCACACUCCCGAUCUUUGCAUUGGGAGCAGUGGACUUGGGUUUGCUGCUUCACCGUCGCUUACCUCAAAUAGGUUAGUGCAACUCUUGGUUGGACAUAGUACGGCGUGAUAAGUGUUCUUCGCCGGUGCCUCGCAAAGAGGGUGGCCGAUCGGGAUGUUUGUGCUCCAAACCGUCUUCGGACAAUCUCUGACGACUUGACCUCAAAUCGAGUAAGACUACCCGCUGAACUUAAGCAUAUCAAUAAGCGGAGGA
RNAcentral lists this unclassified non-coding RNA (381 nucleotides) under soil metagenome. RNAcentral describes it as "partial contains 5.8S ribosomal RNA, internal transcribed spacer 2, and large subunit ribosomal RNA". The stretch from base 1 to 120 matches the Rfam family "5.8S ribosomal RNA", at positions 35 to 154 of the family's 154-position model. The record is from RNAcentral.